CUCCUCCCAGAGUCAUACCUGGAGAGUUUCCAGUACUCUACCAGUCUCGAUUACAGGGGGGAGAGUCAAGCAGAGCCCUACCCAUUCCACUCCUAGCUUGGGCAGUGGUUAGUGAGUGGAAGGCAAUCUGCUACAAGU
This is a non-coding RNA of Ornithorhynchus anatinus (platypus), 138 nucleotides long. Lineage: Eukaryota; Metazoa; Chordata; Mammalia; Monotremata; Ornithorhynchidae. The record is from Rfam.